RNAcentral lists this ribosomal RNA (468 nucleotides) under uncultured bacterium. RNAcentral's name for it is "partial 16S ribosomal RNA". It matches the Rfam family "Bacterial small subunit ribosomal RNA", at positions 28 to 507 of the family's 1533-position model. The record is from RNAcentral.
GACGAACGCUGGCGGCGUGCUUAACACAUGCAAGUCGAACGGAAAGGCGCUGCUUUUGUGGGGUGCUCGAGUGGCGAGCGGGUGAGUAACACGUGAGUAACCUGCCCUUGACUGUGGGAUAACUUCAGGAAACUGGGGCUAAUACAGGAUAGGAGCUCUUGCUGCAUGGGGGGGGAUGGAAAGGUUCGGCGGUUGGGGAUGGACUCGCGGCUUAUCAGCUGGGUGGUGGGGUAGUGGCUUACCAGGGCUUUGACGGGUAGCCGGCCUGAGAGGGUGACCGGCCACAUUGGGACUGAGAUACGGCCCAGACUCCUACGGGAGGCAGCAGUGGGGAAUAUUGCACAAUGGGCGGAAGCCUGAUGCAGCAACGCCGCGUGCGGGAUGACGGCCUUCGGGUUGUAAACCGCUUUCGCCUGUGACGAAGCGUGAGUGACGGUAAUGGGUAAAGAAGCACCGGCUAACUACGUG